This 213-nucleotide ribosomal RNA is filed under the name Microcystis sp. YFM1. Its description in RNAcentral is "partial 16S ribosomal RNA". It matches the Rfam family "Bacterial small subunit ribosomal RNA", at positions 217 to 429 of the family's 1533-position model. Lineage: Bacteria; Bacillati; Cyanobacteriota; Cyanophyceae; Chroococcales; Microcystaceae. The record is from RNAcentral.
GCGGUCGGGGGAGCUUGCGUCUGAUUAGCUAGUUGGUGGGGUAAGAGCCUACCAAGGCGACGAUCAGUAGCUGGUCUGAGAGGAUGAGCAGCCACACUGGGACUGAGACACGGCCCAGACUCCUACGGGAGGCAGCAGUGGGGAAUUUUCCGCAAUGGGCGAAAGCCUGACGGAGCAACGCCGCGUGAGGGAGGAAGGCCCUUGGGUUGUAAA